GAGCCUGAGAAACGGCUACCACAUCUAAGGAUGGCAGCAGGCGCGCAAAUUACCCAAUCCUGACACAGGGAGGUAGUGACAAGAAAUAACAAUACGGGGCUUAAUGUCUUGUAAUUGGAAUGAUGGGAAUUUAAACCUCUUCCAGAGUAUCAAUUGGAGGGCAAGUCUGGUGCCAGCAGCCGCGGUAAUACCAGCUCCAAUAGCGUAUAUUAAAAUUGUUGCAGUUAAAAAGCUCGUAGUUGAAUUUCUGCUGCAUUGCUUUUGCUCCUUUACGAGUCUUUGCAUUGUGGCUUAUUUCGGACUUUGUUUUACAAUGUCCGGAUGUUUACUUUGAGUAAAUUAGAGUGCUCAAAGCAGGCUUUCGCCUUGAAUAGUUUAGCAUGGA
This 385-nucleotide ribosomal RNA is filed under the name Theileria ovis. RNAcentral describes it as "SSU rRNA". It matches the Rfam family "Eukaryotic small subunit ribosomal RNA", at positions 392 to 813 of the family's 1831-position model. The record is from RNAcentral. Lineage: Eukaryota; Apicomplexa; Aconoidasida; Piroplasmida; Theileriidae.